UCUGCUUUCUGUACAUUUUCGUUUACCCAGUCUCUACACCGUUGGCUACAUGAAUAGUCUAAAACCUUGUUUGUUGUCUUUCGCUUUUUUUCCUUUUUAAUUUCAGAUGGACGCAUGUUAGUUUGAAGUCGCAACAACAGCAGAGGGAUGGGCUGCCGGGGCAUCUGCCUCAUCCAGCUCCAGCUGCAGCAGCCAGAACCGUGGAUCAGAGCAGGAGGAGCCAUCCGGAACCAGCAGCCAAGGCACACACCCCUUCCUGGGGCUCAGGGAAAAAAGGGGGGAGAUAUGUGAUAUCCAAAGUCUGGUAGAGGACAAACACUAUAUGUAAUGUGUAUGUAAAUACAUAUAUACAUACAUACACACCCUCUUUCACACACAUAUAUGCUCAUUCACAAUCACACACACACUCUCUUUAACACACAUAUAUAGCCUACUCUUUCACACACAUGCAAAUGCACGCACACACACACAGACACACACACAGACACACACAGAGUCCAUCACAGCUGUUACAAGACUAAGGAGAAGGGUAAUUUAUGCUCACACUCUUACAUUUCAUGCCAACACAGCCAAUGAUGCUUGUGUCAAUAUGCUCUCGGAUGUGCCUGCCAUCUCUGGGUCAAGGUCUGCUCAUCUGCUGAGCCUUCUGAAGGGCUGUGAGAGGAGACCAGAACUAAAAUCACCGAAGAGAUUAAACACACAGCCAUCAGCGCUAUCACUCUUUCUGACACCCACUGGACUCAAGUGGUGAAAGUAAUGUACAUUUUCACAAGACAGAUUAUACACUUUCGCCUUUGCUGCUAGUGACCUUUGCUGGGGCAAGACCAUAGGCCGUCGUAGGCCCCAAGUCAUGAACAGAAGUCAGUUAUUGAAUUAAUUGUUCGGAUUCUCUAGAACAUUCCACAGUCAGUAAAAGGGCACUUCUCAUGGGGCUGCCUAAAGAGAGGGUGAAGUCAUUGAUUUUUUGUAUCUCUUUGAUUGAAUAUCAUUAGUGAUAUUAAUCAAAGCAGACAAAAGAAUGGUUUAACUUUUGCACUUUGAGCCGUUUGCAAAAAUGCCUAUUUUUCUUUGAGGAAGACUCAAGAAGAUUAUGGAAAGAUCUGG
This is a long non-coding RNA of Clupea harengus (Atlantic herring), 1104 nucleotides long. The record is from Ensembl. NCBI's taxonomy places the organism in Eukaryota, Metazoa, Chordata, Actinopteri, Clupeiformes, Clupeidae.